AUCUUAGCGGCGGACGGGUGAGUAAUGCUUAGGAAUCUGCCUAUUAGUGGGGGACAACAUUUCGAAAGGAAUGCUAAUACCGCAUACGUCCUACGGGAGAAAGCAGGGGAUCUUCGGACCUUGCGCUAAUAGAUGAGCCUAAGUCGGAUUAGCUAGUUGGUGGAGUAAAGGCCUACCAAGGCGACGAUCUGUAGCGGGUCUGAGAGGAUGAUCCGCCACACUGGGACUGAGACACGGCCCAGACUCCUACGGGAGGCAGCAGUGGGGAAUAUUGGACAAUGGGGGGAACCCUGAUCCAGCCAUGCCGCGUGUGUGAAGAAGGCCUUUUGGUUGUAAAGCACUUUAAGCGAGGAGGAGGCUACCUAGAUUAAUACUCUGGGAUAGUGGACGUUACUCGCAGAAUAAGCACCGGCUAACUCUGUGCCAGCAGCCGCGGUAAUACAGAGGGUGCGAGCGUUAAUCGGAUUUACUGGGCGUAAAGCGUGCGUAGGCGGCUGAUUAAGUCGGAUGUGAAAUCCCUGAGCUUAACUUAGGAAUUGCAUUCGAUACUGGUCAGCUA
Molecule: ribosomal RNA, 559 nt
Filed under: uncultured bacterium
Lineage: Bacteria
Description: bacterial SSU rRNA
Rfam family: Bacterial small subunit ribosomal RNA
Source: RNAcentral